AAACUUUCAACAACGGAUCUCUUGGCUCUGGCAUCGAUGAAGAACGCAGCGAAAUGCGAUAAGUAAUGUGAAUUGCAGAAUUUAGUGAAUCAUCGAAUCUUUGAACGCACAUUGCGCCCCUUGGUAUUCCGAGGGGCAUGCCUGUUCGAUCGUC
RNAcentral lists this ribosomal RNA (154 nucleotides) under Erysiphe polygoni. RNAcentral's name for it is "5.8S rRNA". It matches the Rfam family "5.8S ribosomal RNA". Rfam says of the family: 5.8S ribosomal RNA (5.8S rRNA) is a component of the large subunit of the eukaryotic ribosome. It is transcribed by RNA polymerase I as part of the 45S precursor that also contains 18S and 28S rRNA. Functionally, it is thought that 5.8S rRNA may be involved in ribosome translocation. The record is from RNAcentral. Lineage: Eukaryota; Fungi; Ascomycota; Leotiomycetes; Helotiales; Erysiphaceae.